This 497-nucleotide ribosomal RNA is filed under the name uncultured bacterium. RNAcentral's name for it is "partial 16S ribosomal RNA". It matches the Rfam family "Bacterial small subunit ribosomal RNA", at positions 28 to 507 of the family's 1533-position model. The record is from RNAcentral.
GAUGAACGCUGGCGGCGUGCCUAAUACAUGCAAGUCGAGCGAACAGACGAGGAGCUUGCUCCUCUGACGUUAGCGGCGGACGGGUGAGUAACACGUGGAUCACCUACCUAUCAGACUGGGAUCACUUCGGGAAACCGGCGAUAAUACCGGAUAAUCUAUUGCACCGCAUGGUUCAAUAGUGAAAGACGGCUUUGCUGUCACUUAUCGAUGGAUCCGCGCCGCAUUAGCUAGUUGGUAAGGUCACGGCUUACCAAGGCAACGAUGCGUAGCCGACCGGCGAGGGGGGUCGCCCACACUGGAACUGGGACACGCUCAAGACUCCUACGGGAGGCAGCAGUAUGGAAUCGGCCGCAAUGGUCGAAAGCCUGACGGAGCAACGCCGCGUGAGUGAUGAAGGUCUUCGGAUCGUAAAGCUCGGUUAUUAGGUAAGAACAAAUUUGUAAGUAACUAUGCACGUCUUGACGGUACCGGAUCAGAAAGCCACGGCUAACUACGUG